GCUCCUACGGGGCGCAGCAGUGAGGAAUAUUGGUCAAUGGACGAGAGUCUGAACCAGCCAAGUAGCGUGAAGGAUGACUGCCCGAUGGGUUGUAAACUGCUUUUGUACGAGGGUAAACCCCGAUACGUGCAUCGGGUUGAAAGUAUCGUACGAAUAAGGAUCGGCUAACUCCGUGCCAGCAGCCGCGGUAAUACGGAGGAUCCGAGCGUUAUCCGGAUUUAUUGGGUUUAAAGGGUGCGUAGGCGGUUUGAUAAGUUAGAGGUGAAAUGUCGGGGCUCAACCCCGAAACUGCCUCUAAUACUGGU
This 305-nucleotide ribosomal RNA is filed under the name uncultured bacterium. Its description in RNAcentral is "bacterial SSU rRNA". It matches the Rfam family "Bacterial small subunit ribosomal RNA", at positions 335 to 637 of the family's 1533-position model. The record is from RNAcentral.